Molecule: ribosomal RNA, 504 nt
Filed under: Triticum aestivum (bread wheat)
Lineage: Eukaryota; Viridiplantae; Streptophyta; Magnoliopsida; Poales; Poaceae
Description: partial small subunit ribosomal RNA
Source: RNAcentral
AUGAGCUCUCAUCGUGUGAAGUGGAAUGAGGACAAUCUGUAUGAGAUUGAAUCAAACAAGCCAGUGCGGCAGAAGAUAGCCGAGCCCAAGACACCGUAUCACCCUAUGAUGGAUGAUGAUGGGUCACUAUCACCAACACGCCCUUUCGACAAGUGUCUAGAUGCGACUGUUAGUGCAGAAGAUAUAUUAACUGCUUUAAAUGGUGUGGCCUCUUCAAGUAAAAAUGAUUCAAAGGAUGAUGAGUGGGCAUCCUCAGAUGAUGACGCAGAUGCCAUAGAACAUGAUGGUGACUCAGAAGCUGACAAAUCAUCAGUGAGUUUCAAGGAGCACCACCGCAAUCACUACCAUGAAUUCCGCAAGGUCAAGGAACUGACGCGCACUGGAUCCCUGGUUGAAGAUGGGGGCCGUGCGAAUGAGCGAACUGCAAACAACGUCGAAGACAAAACCGCACGAGAGAAGGCAACAGGCGACAAGAGUGAAUCGUCAACAUCACCUCAAGUAUGA